RNAcentral lists this ribosomal RNA (343 nucleotides) under Cortinarius camphoratus. RNAcentral's name for it is "eukaryotic LSU rRNA". The stretch from base 1 to 71 matches the Rfam family "5.8S ribosomal RNA", at positions 84 to 154 of the family's 154-position model. Lineage: Eukaryota; Fungi; Basidiomycota; Agaricomycetes; Agaricales; Cortinariaceae. The record is from RNAcentral.
GUGAGUCAUCGAAUCUUUGAACGCACCUUGCGCUCCUUGGUAUUCCGAGGAGCAUGCCUGUUUGAGUGUCAUUAAUAUAUCAACUUCUUCAACUUUUGCUUGUCGAGUGUUGGAUGUGGGGGGUUCUUUUUUUGCCGGGUCUCUUUUAAUUGAGGUCGGCUCCCCUGAAAUGCAUUAGCGGAACAAUUUGUUGACCGUUCAUUGGUGUGAUAAACUAUCUACGCUAUUGACGUGAGCCAGUUCAGCUUCUAACAAUCCAUUGACUUGGAUAAAUUUUUAUUAAUGUGACCUCAAAUCAGGUAGGACUACCCGCUGAACUUAAGCAUAUCAAUAAGCGGAGGAA